GACGAACGCUGGCGGCGUGCUUAACACAUGCAAGUCGAACGGAAAGGCCCUGCUUUUGUGGGGUGCUCGAGUGGCGAACGGGUGAGUAACACGUGAGUAACCUGCCCUUGACUGUGGGAUAACUUCAGGAAACUGGGGCUAAUACCGGAUAGGAGCUCCUGCUGCAUGGUGGGGGUUGGAAAGUUUCGGCGGUUGGGGAUGGACUCGCGGCUUAUCAGCUUGUUGGUGGGGUAGUGGCUUACCAAGGCUUUGACGGGUAGCCGGCCUGAGAGGGUGACCGGCCACAUUGGGACUGAGAUACGGCCCAGACUCCUACGGGGGGCAGCAGUGGGGAAUAUUGCACAAUGGGCGGAAGCCUGAUGCAGCAACGCCGCGUGCGGGAUGACGGCCUUCGGGUUGUAAACCGCUUUCGCCUGUGACGAAGCGUGAGUGACGGUAAUGGGUAAAGAAGCACCGGCUAACUACGUG
Molecule: ribosomal RNA, 468 nt
Filed under: uncultured bacterium
Lineage: Bacteria
Description: partial 16S ribosomal RNA
Rfam family: Bacterial small subunit ribosomal RNA
Source: RNAcentral